This 425-nucleotide ribosomal RNA is filed under the name uncultured bacterium. RNAcentral's name for it is "bacterial SSU rRNA". It matches the Rfam family "Bacterial small subunit ribosomal RNA", at positions 355 to 771 of the family's 1533-position model. The record is from RNAcentral.
UGGGGAAUUGUUCGCAAUGGGCGCAAGCCUGACGACGCAACGCCGCGUGGAGGAUGAAGAUUUUCGGAUCGUAAACUCCUGUCGAAUGGGACGAAUAGAUUGUGGGUUAACAGCCCAUGGUCCUGACGGUACCGUUAAAGGAAACCCCUGCUAACUCCGUGCCAGCAGCCGCGGUAAUACGUAGGGUGCAAGCGUUAAUCGGAAUUACUGGGCGUAAAGGGUGCGCAGGCGGCCCCGCAUGUCAGGCGUGAAAUCCCCGAGCUUAACUUGGGAAUGGCGCUUGAAACUACGGGGCUGGAGUGUGGCAGAGGGAGGUGGAAUUCCACGUGUAGCGGUGAAAUGCGUAGAGAUGUGGAGGAACACCGAUGGCGAAGGCAGCCUCCUGGGCCAACACUGACGCUCAUGCACGAAAGCGUGGGGAGCAA